This 520-nucleotide ribosomal RNA is filed under the name uncultured Glomus. RNAcentral's name for it is "SSU rRNA". It matches the Rfam family "Eukaryotic small subunit ribosomal RNA", at positions 569 to 1093 of the family's 1831-position model. Lineage: Eukaryota; Fungi; Glomeromycota; Glomeromycetes; Glomerales; Glomeraceae. The record is from RNAcentral.
AGCAGCCGCGGUAAUUCCAGCUCCAAUAGCGUAUAUUAAAGUUGUUGCAGUUAAAAGCUCGUAGUUGAAUUUCGGGAUCAAUACGUCGGUCGUGCUUCGGUACGUACUGGCGUAAUUGAUUUCUCCCCUUCUGAAGAACCUCGAUGCCAUUAAUUUGGUGUCGUGGGGAAUCAGGACUGUUACUUUGAAAAAUUAGAGUGUUUAAAGCAAGCAUACGCUUGAAUACAUUAGCAUGGAAUAAUGAAAUAGGACGUUUGAUUCUAUUUUGUUGGUUUCUAGGAUCGACGUAAUGAUUAAUAGGGAUAGUUGGGGGCAUUAGUAUUCAAUUGUCAGAGGUGAAAUUCUUGGAUUUAUUGAAGACUAACUACUGCGAAAGCAUUUGCCAAGGAUGUUUUCAUUAAUCAAGAACGAAAGUUAGGGGAUCGAAGACGAUCAGAUACCGUCGUAGUCUUAACCAUAAACUAUGCCGACUAGGGAUCGGAUGAUGUUAAUUUUUAAUGACUCAUUCGGCGCCUUACGG